Molecule: long non-coding RNA, 1416 nt
Organism: Solanum tuberosum (potato)
Lineage: Eukaryota; Viridiplantae; Streptophyta; Magnoliopsida; Solanales; Solanaceae
Exons: 2
Source: RefSeq, a predicted model, not a curated record
AAAAGGCCUAUGAUCAUGUCAAUUGGUCAUUCCUUCUAAAAAUUCUGAGAGACAUGGGCUUUGCGAACAAAUGGAUAAAUUGGAUCAAAACAUGUAUAUCUACUGUGAAAUUCUCUCUUAUCAUCAACGGUAGUCUAGAUGGUUUCUUUCAAUCACAAAGAGGUUUAAGGCAAGGUGAUCCAAUGUCACCUUUCCAAUUUAUCUUAGCAAUGAAAGGCUUCAGUUCUAUGAUCAAAAGAGCAAGUGAGAAAGGGUGGAUAAAGGGGCUUCCCUGCAAAUGCUAAUAGGGGAAAUACUAUGGAAAUCACACAUCUGUUAUAUGUAGAUGACUCCUUGGUAUUCUGUGAAGCUGAAGUAAUGCAAAUGAGACACUUGAGGGCCAUUCUAACCAUUUUUGAGGGCAUCUCAGGUUUACAUGUUAACUGGCAUAAGAGUUGCUUGUACCCUAUUAACCAAGUUACCAAUAUGCAGAUACUUGCUGUGAACGUAGGAUGCCAAAUGGAUUCCUUACCAACUAAAUAUCUUGGAAUGCCUCUUGUUGCAAAAAAUAAAGAGGUGGAAGUAUGGAGUGAAGUGUUGGAAAGAAAUGAGAGAAAGUUGACAAGAUGGAAGAGCCAAUACCUAUCUAUGGGAGGCAGAUUAACUCUCAUAAAGUCAAAAAUGGAUGCCCUCCCAACUUACAUGAUAAGCCUAUUCCCAAUCCCAGGAAGCAUAGAGAAGAAAAUCAACAAACUAAGGAGAGUCUUCUUAUGGCAAGGGAACAAAGAGAAGCUUGGGUACAACCUAGUCAUAUGGGAUUAGGUGGCCAUCAACAAAAUAAAAGGGGGUAUGGGGAUAAAAAAGUUGAAAGUACAGAAUGUCAGGUUGUUGAAGAGGUGGCUUUGGAGGUUAUGUAUUGAAGAUUUGACAUUAUGGAGAGGAUUCAUAUCACAUAAAUAUGGUCUUCAAAAUAAUAAGGAUGGCAAGUUCUCUGUAGGUAGAAUUUAUAGGAAAGAGGUAUCCUGGAUGCCUGAGAACAAAAUAGGCCCUUGGAAGCAUGUAUGGAAAAGUAUGGCUCCUACUAAGGUCAAGUACUUUGCUUGGUUAGUAAUCAGGAAAGCUUGCCUCACUCAUGAGAUCCUGCAGAAAAAGGGAUUGCCAAUUGUUCCAGAUGCAUGGUAUGUAGUGAUGCUAGAGAGACAAAUAAUCAUCUGUUCCUCCAUUGUAAAGUCACAUCUCAGCUUUGGACUAUGUUCCUCAGUUUAACAGAGACAAAAUGGUCAAUGCCAGAGCAGCAGACUUGUUAAGUUGCUGGAUUAGGAAAGGGGGAAGGAAGACACAGAAGAAGUGGUGGAGAAUAAUCCCACACUGUAUCUGGUGGACUAUCUGGAGGGAGAGGAAUGGAAGAAACUUUGAAGAUAGAUUCAACAACAUUCA